AGAACGAACGCUGGCGGCGUGGAUAAGACAUGCAAGUCGAACGCGACUUAUCGAGUUAGCAAUAACUUGGUGAGUCGAGUGGCGAAAGGGUGCGUAACACGUGGGAAUUUACCAAGAAGUGGGGAAUAGCUCGACGAAAGUCGAAUUAAUACCGCAUGUGAUCGAAAGAUCAAAGUCGGGGACCGCAAGGCCUGACGCUUUUUGAGAAGCCCGCGGCCCAUCAGCUAGUUGGCGAGGUAAAAGCUCACCAAGGCUAUGACGGGUAGCUGGUCUGAGAGGACGACCAGCCACACUGGAACUGAGACACGGUCCAGACACCUACGGGUGGCAGCAGUCGAGAAUUUUUUCACAAUGGACGAAA
This 361-nucleotide ribosomal RNA is filed under the name uncultured bacterium. Its description in RNAcentral is "SSU rRNA". It matches the Rfam family "Bacterial small subunit ribosomal RNA", at positions 26 to 380 of the family's 1533-position model. The record is from RNAcentral.